Molecule: long non-coding RNA, 962 nt
Organism: Pleuronectes platessa (European plaice)
Lineage: Eukaryota; Metazoa; Chordata; Actinopteri; Pleuronectiformes; Pleuronectidae
Exons: 4
Source: RefSeq, a predicted model, not a curated record
CAGAGGCUGGAGGUGUUAUAUGUGUUGUUAUAUAUGCGUUUAUUAUUUACUGUGAAUGUCCGACGCUCCUCUACCGGUUUUUUCCAGAAAACAUGGUCCCCCAGGAGAAUUUCAAAAUGGGCCUCCAGCUGCAACGGACAACGCAUUGAUUUUGAAAGGUUGUUAAUGGACAUAAAAGAUUUGAAACCAUUUUAUUCUAAUCAAAAUGGUGGUGACGGACAUACCUGACUGAACACACUCUCCUUGGUGGAGUUCUCUGCACAGAGGAGAGGUUCCGCGGAGGAGCACAACAUGGACAGGCUGAUUUCUCUCUCGUCGGCCUCUGAGGAACAAAACAGAGACGUGUAAAAAAAAGUUUCUUAAUUCAGCCGCCAACUGGAGCGAGAUGCCACACACAGACAGCAACUUUCCAUAUUUCUUGUUUGAGCCUCGUCUACAUGUGGCUGAGGUCGAUUCUUUACCUGGCAGUGGUUCCGGGCCUCGUUCCAGGUCAUACUUCCGGGCGGGACGAAGAACUCAGGCUGGGCCUUGACGUAGAUCAUCAUCAUCAUCAUCAGUGCUGCACAGAGAUGUACAAACAGUGGAGAUGAGUUCAAGACCCCCAACAUGCACAGUAAAGUUUAAUCUGUGCACAUUUUCGGGUUCAAGCAAUCAUGUUAUUUUCUAUAAUCCAUUAAAAUCACUUCUACAAUCAACACACCAACAGAACAUCAUUAUAUUCUUGAUAUGCAACUCCAUCACACGAUCUUGACUGAACUACAGGUGGUUAGUAUCGAUAGCUGCAGCAAAUUUCUGCAGCCUUAAAAUAAUAAAACAGGUCAAAAUAUUCUCUAUUAAUUCAAAUUGUAAGUUUAAAAGGAUAAAAACACAACACAAAAACAAACCGCCAGGAUCGUUGUGAACCAUAUAUGGUUGUGACUUUGAAGCCUCCAGGUUCUCACUGUGGUAACUCACUCUGUGAA